Long non-coding RNA from Sapajus apella (tufted capuchin), 202 nucleotides. RefSeq lists it as uncharacterized. The record is from RefSeq and is a predicted model, not a curated record. The transcript has 3 exons. NCBI's taxonomy places the organism in Eukaryota, Metazoa, Chordata, Mammalia, Primates, Cebidae.
CAGUGCAGUGGGGAGAUCUCAGCUCACUGCAACCUUUGCCUCCCGGGUUCAAGCAAUUCUCUGGCUUCAGCUGCCCAAAUAGCUGCGACUACAGGUGCACGCCACCACACCCAGCAAAUGUUUGUACUUUGAGUAGAGACAGGUUUUCACCUUGUUGCCCAGGCUGGUCUGGAACUCCUGAGCUCAAGUGAUCUGCCUGCUU